Molecule: non-coding RNA, 73 nt
Organism: Candidatus Woesebacteria bacterium
Lineage: Bacteria; Candidatus Woeseibacteriota
Source: Rfam
GGCCCCAUCGUCUAGUGGACUAGGACACGGGCUUUUCAGGCCUGUAACCAGGGUUCGAAUCCCUGUGGGGUCA